GCCGCAUGAGGAACGACGGCCUUCGGGUUGUAAACCUCUUUUAACAGGAAAGAAGCGAAAGUGACGGUACCUGCAAAAAAAGCGCCGGAUAACUACGUGCCAGCAGCCGCGGUAAUACGUAGGGCGCAAGCGUUAUCCGGAAUUAUUGGGCGUAAAGAGCUCGUAGGCGGUCUGUCGCGUCUGCUGUGAAAACCCGAGGCUCAACCUCGGGCCUGCAGUGGGUACGGGCAGACUAGAGUGCGGUAGGGGAGAUUGGAAUUCCUGGUGUAGCGGUGGAAUGCGCAGAUAUCAGGAGGAACACCGAUGGCGAAGGCAGAUCUCUGGGCCGUAACUGACGCUGAGGAGCGAAAGGGUGGGGAGCAAACAGGCUUAGAUACCCUGGUAGUCCACCCCGUAAACGUUGGGAACUAGUUGUGGGGUCCAUUCCACGGAUUCCGUGACGCAGCUAACGCAUUAAGUUCCCCGCCUGGGGAGUACGGCCGCAAGGCUAAAACUCAAAGGAAUUGACGGGGACCCGCACAAGCGGCGGAGCAUGCGGAUUAAUUCGAUGCAACGCGAAGAACCUUACCAAGGCUUGACAU
Molecule: ribosomal RNA, 581 nt
Filed under: Microbacterium sp. S73-6
Lineage: Bacteria; Bacillati; Actinomycetota; Actinomycetes; Micrococcales; Microbacteriaceae
Description: bacterial SSU rRNA
Rfam family: Bacterial small subunit ribosomal RNA
Source: RNAcentral